This 357-nucleotide long non-coding RNA is filed under the name Brassica napus (rape). Its description in RNAcentral is "long non-coding RNA (BNAP_LNC008826)". Lineage: Eukaryota; Viridiplantae; Streptophyta; Magnoliopsida; Brassicales; Brassicaceae. The record is from RNAcentral.
UAUGAGAUGCUUACUUUAUGUAUAUUUAUUUUUUAAUUUUUUGAUGACUAUAUGAACAUUCAGCAACGUUAACCCUUUUUAUAUUUUCUUUUUAAAUACUGCAUAAUUAAUGGAAGAUCAUGUGCUCUCACUUACGGAAAACUAUAACUAAAAGCAAAAACUAUCAUGUGAUAAUGUAAAGCUAUGUGGUCCAAACUCCCUCCCCAAACAAUGAGAUUGUAAAUUAACAAUUGCAUAAAUUAUCUAUAAUAUUAAAAUAGAAUUAUAAAUAAGAAUUAUUUAUUAAAUUUACAACUUAUUUACAAUCGUAUGCCACUAAAUUAAUUAAUAAGCUUAAUUUUAAGCAUGUAUUACAGU